RNAcentral lists this ribosomal RNA (253 nucleotides) under uncultured bacterium. RNAcentral's name for it is "partial 16S ribosomal RNA". It matches the Rfam family "Bacterial small subunit ribosomal RNA", at positions 524 to 776 of the family's 1533-position model. The record is from RNAcentral.
UACGAAGGGGGCUAGCGUUGCUCGGAAUCACUGGGCGUAAAGCGCACGUAGGCGGACUCUUAAGUCGGUGGUGAAAGCCCGGGGCUCAACUCCGGAACUGCCUUUAAGACUGCAUCGCUUGAAUCCAGGAGAGGUGAGUGGAAUUCCGAGUGUAGAGGUGAAAUUCGUAGAUAUUCGGAAGAACACCAGUGGCGAAGGCGGCUCACUGGACUGGUAUUGACGCUGAGGUGCGAAAGCGUGGGGAGCAAACAGG